GACGUAUUUGAGUGAUCGCUGGUUCGCUUCGGUGAAUCAGAGGAAAGUCCGAGCAGUACGGAAAACCCAGCCGCUAACAGCGUGCCGCUCCUACAGCAAUGUAAGAGAAGGGAAAGUGCCACAGAGACAAUACUAGCCUCCCCGGAGGUGAAAGGUGAAAAGUCCCAUUCAGUGGGAACUCCAUAGAUAUACUUAUGGAUGUGGGAAAACCCUGGGUGCUGCAAGGUAAGGUGGCGGCUUCAUUUGCCCCCAAUUGCAAAUCAAGUCUCUUACCGCUAGAGCUCUGGCUAUAAAUCAGAGCCUAGAUAGAUGAUCACACUCCGCUUGCGGAGUACAGAACUCGGCUUAUGAUAAUACGUCUCUG
Molecule: RNase P RNA, 364 nt
Filed under: Candidatus Altimarinota bacterium
Lineage: Bacteria; Candidatus Altimarinota
Description: RNase P RNA component class A
Rfam family: Bacterial RNase P class A
About the family: Ribonuclease P (RNase P) is a ubiquitous endoribonuclease, found in archaea, bacteria and eukarya as well as chloroplasts and mitochondria. Its best characterised activity is the generation of mature 5'-ends of tRNAs by cleaving the 5'-leader elements of precursor-tRNAs.
Source: RNAcentral